AUCUGUAACGUGUACACGUAUACGACAUAUAUACGACAAUAUGAUUGUAUUAUGAUAUGCAUAAAUGAAUGCUGACCAUGGAAGUUAUGUCCAUGACACUCACACGUACGAGUAUGUAACCUAAAAAUCAUGUUAUGUAAACGUUUGUAACGUUCUUGUGAUACCAAAUAAACUGCUAAUCCACCAAAAAGGAUUAACAUAAGUCCGAUUACAUUAAUUAAUAUUGCUUCGUCUACAAGAGCAAAAAAUGCUUUUUCAUUGAGGCCUAAAAGACAGGAAGCAAUUACACCAAUGAAUCCUGCGAUUCCAAAGUAUACAUGAAUUGGCAUGUAGGAAGCCCGUAAUGGAAGUUGUAAUCCCGGAUACAGGAAAGAUAGAAAUCCAGCAAGCCACUAAAAUAUUAAAGUAUAUGUAUUUCACGAUUAUUGAACGAUCAUAUAUGGAUAAAAAUAAAUAAAGAGUUAAUGACAUUUA
Long non-coding RNA from Bombus pyrosoma, 474 nucleotides. RefSeq lists it as uncharacterized. NCBI's taxonomy places the organism in Eukaryota, Metazoa, Arthropoda, Insecta, Hymenoptera, Apidae. The record is from RefSeq and is a predicted model, not a curated record. The transcript has 3 exons.